Molecule: long non-coding RNA, 980 nt
Organism: Cyprinus carpio carpio
Lineage: Eukaryota; Metazoa; Chordata; Actinopteri; Cypriniformes; Cyprinidae
Source: Ensembl
CCUGCAGAAGGGAUGUUAGUUUCCAAUGAGUCUGAUUCAGGCGAUUGAAGCAUUCUGAGGAGGUGAGCCGGUCCGUCCAAUUCCAGUCUGAGCGCCGCUCAUUAGGGCACGACAGCGCAGGCAGCCGGGGGGACGCGGCAGCACCCGGUCCACCCUGACUCAGGCAUCCAGCGGGGCAUCUGGCAGGGCUACACUUCAGAACGGAAGGGCCAAAAUGACAUCUCCAAUCCAGAUGCUGGGGCCAAUCAUGAUGGGAAAAUUGACAAGUGAUGCACUCCUUAAGAUCCAUCCAUCUGUCACUCCAAUUCCCUGAGGCUGUCCCGUGGACCGCUGUGGUUUCUGGUGAUCAUAACAGAUAAUUACCCACCUCCCUGGACAGCCAUACUGCACAUGUCUCCCCGAAGCACUAGUGAUCUCCUAGUGAAUGUGCUGCACUUGUGAAAGCUCAGUGUGUGAGUAACAAGCUAGAAGUGGCAGUGGUUCAGUCCCUUAUGUCACCCAGAUAGUCUUCAGAUGGCACGCAAAGGGGGCACUGUUGCUGUUCUGAAGGAGAGAGCUGGCAGCUUGCUGCAGUGAGUGAGUGACCAAAGGAAAAUCAUUGCUCAGUGACCGACGGGGAAGCUGCACUGAUCGCCAUUGAUCCUUUAGUGCUGUCCCCUAGCUUGACCACUGCCCUUGUGCCCGUGCAAGGCUAACAUAGUUUUAUCAGGCUGGACCACUGCAUUACAGCCAAUACACAAUAACCCCAGUACUGUACGGAUGCCUGUGUGUGCAAUAAGAGACCUCAGAUGCACUGAGGAUACUCUGCAUAUUCCUGGAUAUUCUACAUGCUCCUUAUCGGUUUGUAUUAGUGGGCAUGUGAGAUGACAUGCAAGGUAUUAGAGAGAUUUAUUUGGUCUAACAUUGUAAAACUGCGUAAUUUGUUAAGGAAAAUUAAUUAAGAUAUGACUGUAGUUUCCCCUAAUCUAAAAGAGUCAACU